This is a long non-coding RNA of Macrobrachium nipponense, 188 nucleotides long. RefSeq lists it as uncharacterized. NCBI's taxonomy places the organism in Eukaryota, Metazoa, Arthropoda, Malacostraca, Decapoda, Palaemonidae. The transcript is spliced from 2 exons. The record is from RefSeq and is a predicted model, not a curated record.
CCUCAUUACUACUGUAAGUAUAACAACAAUAACAAUACCACAUGUUUAAGGUGGGCAUCCUGGGCAUCUUUCUUGCAUUAUAUUUACGGAUGAGAACGCAGUGCCCGGCAGCCGAUCUUCAUGGCAAAAGCAAGACUUUCUAUCCAAGACCAAGCUUUAUAGGACCUCUCAAAAAACCCUUCUUGAUU